UACAGAGGGGGCAAGCGUUGUUCGGAAUUACUGGGCGUAAAGGGCGCGUAGGCGGCCUGCUAAGUCGAGCGUGAAAUCCCCGAGCUCAACUCGGGAACUGCGUCCGAUACUGGCAGGCUUGAAUCCGGGAGAGGGAUGCGGAAUUCCAGGUGUAGCGGUGAAAUGCGUAGAUAUCUGGAGGAACACCUAUGGCGAAAGCAGCUCUCUGGGACGGUACUGACGCUGAGACGCGAAAGCGUGGGGAGCGAACAGG
Molecule: ribosomal RNA, 253 nt
Filed under: uncultured bacterium
Lineage: Bacteria
Description: partial 16S ribosomal RNA
Rfam family: Bacterial small subunit ribosomal RNA
Source: RNAcentral